CGUCUUUGUUACUCCACUUCCUGGUAUGAAUUUCGUGUGCUACUCCACAUCCUGGUAUGAAUUUUACCAUAUCUGUUGUUACAUUCUGCUUCAAUGCCAAUGCUUCAAGUUUUCCGAGUGCCAAAAUGAUAGAAUUGAUUUCUCAAGUCGUCUGGAGUGGGGCGAUCGAAUGAUUAAGGGGGUUCAAGCUCAUUGAUGUUUUGCAAGGUCUUGUCAGAAGAGACGAUAGAUGAUUGCAACUGUCUCCAAGGUAAUGGCAGAAGAGUCAAAAGCUCAUCAGUAGGAGGGAAAGCCUUUUCCAUGUUCUGCUAAAAGAAUUGUCUAUGAAAUCUGGUUCGCUUUCCCUAAAGAGACAAGGCUAUCAUUAAGAAAUUAAAGAUCAGGAGAGACCUGUGAACUUUUGGCUAUGGACUUCUUCGUGAGUACAGAGGAUCCAUUCAAAGAGGCUCCUCUCUUUACUGCCUGUUCUGUAUCAAGGUAUGUAAUGAAAUCUCUUCUUAGGAGGAUUACUCUUACAGUGUAGUUUGUGUUUUAAGAAUCAAAUGUGUAGCAUUCAAUUGGACAUUUAAUUUUUAAUUAACACCUACAACUGUCGUUAAUAGAGUCCAUGCCUUUAUUCAUUACCUUCAAACUUUAACUGUUGUUCAUUAUAAGAAGCACUCAGUAACCUCUUGCAGAAUCUAAUCACUAGGCACAAAAUGCCAUUUCUAUCCAUGGUAUUGAAGUUUAUGUUAAACAUUUAAUUUACAUUUACUUAGUCAAAGUUAAGCAAAAAGCCAAUCGCUCCGAUUGCUGGAUUCAGAUGCAUUCUGGUUGAAAGUUUCUUUUCCAUUGCUUGAGAGUUUGCAUAGUUGCCAGCUGACAGGGUUCAGGGUAAUUAGUUUCCGCUUCAGAGAAAUUAUCCUUGAUUCAGAGUCUCAUUUAUGGGGUGUUAGCUCCACAACUGUAUCCUCAGGACCCUUUAACAGUUCAGCAGCAUCAUAUAACCCCAUGCCCUGGGUGCUUGUGCCAUUGAGAUUAUAGCUCUAGGCAUGACACCAUCACAGGUAAGUCAUCAUAAGAUUAAUAUUCACUUAUUGUUUCUGGAUUCAAUUGUCCGAAGCAAUAAGUGAAUAUUAAAAUGGAUUGUGAAAAUCUGAUAGCUUUGACCAUAAGAUUCAUUGAAGCUCUAAUCCCACUUCCAAACCGACUCCUGUCAGAGCCCCCUUAGUACCAGACCGCAAACUGCUGAACUUUUCUGGCUCCAAGAAACGUGUAAAAGGACCAUUUGAAGUUGCAAGCAUCUUUCGAAUUGCUGCAUAUGUCUCUUCAAGUGUAUUCAUGGGUUCAUGGCAAAGCGCAUCUUCUUUAUAGCGAAACCAUCUUCGACCAUUGAAUGUCGUGUCAACAUAUGCUCGAUAAAUGGUCCUCCAUGCUUCCAAGUCCCAGAAAUAGUAAAUUUUCCUAAGUGCCCAUGAUGGACUUCUGUUGAUAUUUAUGGAGAUUGACAUCAUCAAUACAAGAGUUAUGACAUAUCCAACCAGGAAAAGAGAGCCCCUGUUUUUCUUGCUUUUUUUGCCAUCUCUGCUUUUGUAUACUUUUUUGGGUGAUUAUAACAUUCCAAAUAGUUUAAAUAUAACUGCAUGCCUUGCUGAAAAAAAUAUUUUGGAAUUCUUCAGAAAUUCCCGGAACUGCAAUUUAAUUUGUGGUUAGAGCCUAUUUAUUAUCUUUGCCCGAAUGCCAUUUCUUAGCUGUAGUCUACUUUUUGUCGUGUUUAAGUGAAAUAUGAUUCUGUAAAUAUUUUCUAAGUUCCUAGUUCCACUUAGAGAUCUCUUGAAACUCUGCAACUUUGGUCUUAUGCUUCUCAUAACAUCCAGUUAUAAGGCAUCUAUUGACAGUAGUGGUGGUGAAGGUAAAGUAUAGAAAACAAUGGCAUCCUCCCAUCUCUACUCAACGCCCAACAACGCCCAUUCAAAAUUUCGCUGGCCUUUGUAUUAAGAUUGCCCUUUUUAAACCAACUCCCGCAGUGUUCAAUACUGUGUAUUUUACUAAGUGAAGCUUCAUAUCUUUAUUUUUGAUCAAAUUUUAAUUCUUUCUAUGUUUGUCAAUUAUCAUAUUAUUUCGUUCAACAACAUUUAUACAAAAAUUAUGGCUUAGUCUAAAAUACUUUUAAAUCCAUCAAACCAUCUUCAUAUAAUCUUAAUUUCACAUGGUGUUCUGGUGCUUAGAUUAGACAUUUUAGAUAAUGUAUGAUGGAUUGUAAGUUAUAUUAUUUUAUUAAGGAAUCAUUCUUCAUAGUCUAAAAUACUUUUAAAUCCAUCAAACCAUCUUCGUAGUAAAAAAUUAAUAUAAUCUUAAUUUCACAUGGUGUGAAGGUGCUUAGAUUAGGCAUUUUACAUAGUGUAUGAUGAAUUGCAAGUUAGAUUAUUUUAUUAAGAAAUCAUUCUAGAAUAUUUUUUGAGUACAAUUGAAUUGAACAUGUAUUAAAUUAAGCAUAUUAAAAAAACAUUGAUGGAAUUUGAGUUAUUGGAGUUUGGGUCAUUACAUGUGGUGUAGAAAGGUUCAAAAGCUAGGCCUUUUACCCUAUUACAAUUUGUGUAAAUUAAAAUUGUGUAAUCUUUUUAGUUUUGAAUUGAAUUUUGUGAACUUAU
This is a long non-coding RNA of Cryptomeria japonica (Japanese cedar), 2630 nucleotides long. RefSeq lists it as uncharacterized. Lineage: Eukaryota; Viridiplantae; Streptophyta; Pinopsida; Cupressales; Cupressaceae. The transcript has 4 exons. The record is from RefSeq and is a predicted model, not a curated record.